This 531-nucleotide ribosomal RNA is filed under the name bacterium 5c82709. Its description in RNAcentral is "bacterial SSU rRNA". It matches the Rfam family "Bacterial small subunit ribosomal RNA", at positions 296 to 845 of the family's 1533-position model. The record is from RNAcentral.
GAGGGCGACCGGCCACACUGGGACUGAGACACGGCCCAGACUCCUACGGGAGGCAGCAGUGGGGAAUAUUGCGCAAUGGGCGGAAGCCUGACGCAGCGACGCCGCGUGGGGGAUGACGGCCUUCGGGUUGUAAACCUCUUUCGCCAGGGACGAAGAGUGAUUGACGGUACCUGGAGAAGAAGCACCGGCCAACUACGUGCCAGCAGCCGCGGUAACACGUAGGGUGCGAGCGUUGUCCGGAAUUAUUGGGCGUAAAGAGCUCGUAGGCGGUGUGUCGCGUCGGCCGUGAAAACUUGGGGCUUAACUCUGAGCGUGCGGUCGAUACGGGCAUCACUUGAGUUCGGCAGGGGAGACUGGAAUUCCUGGUGUAGCGGUGAAAUGCGCAGAUAUCAGGAGGAACACCGGUGGCGAAGGCGGGUCUCUGGGCCGAUACUGACGCUGAGGAGCGAAAGCGUGGGGAGCGAACAGGAUUAGAUACCCUGGUAGUCCACGCCGUAAACGUUGGGCGCUAGGUGUGGGGACCAUUCCACG